CGAACUCAGACGUGAAACGCAACAGCGCCGAUGAUAGUGUGGGGUUUCCCCAUGUGAAAGUAGGUCACUGCCAGGC
Molecule: ribosomal RNA, 76 nt
Filed under: Celerinatantimonas diazotrophica
Lineage: Bacteria; Pseudomonadati; Pseudomonadota; Gammaproteobacteria; Celerinatantimonadaceae
Source: RNAcentral